CUGGCUCAGGAUGAACGCUAGCGGCAGGCCUAAUACAUGCAAGUCGAACGGUGUAGCAAUACAUAGUGGCGCACGGGUGCGUAACACGUAUGCAAC
RNAcentral lists this ribosomal RNA (96 nucleotides) under Arcicella aurantiaca. RNAcentral describes it as "partial 16S ribosomal RNA". It matches the Rfam family "Bacterial small subunit ribosomal RNA", at positions 19 to 125 of the family's 1533-position model. Lineage: Bacteria; Pseudomonadati; Bacteroidota; Cytophagia; Cytophagales; Flectobacillaceae. The record is from RNAcentral.